GUCUCUUCCAUGGUGUUUACUCUCAGUGCCU
Molecule: non-coding RNA, 31 nt
Filed under: Rattus norvegicus (Norway rat)
Lineage: Eukaryota; Metazoa; Chordata; Mammalia; Rodentia; Muridae
Source: RNAcentral